This is a long non-coding RNA of Girardinichthys multiradiatus, 749 nucleotides long. RefSeq lists it as uncharacterized. The transcript has 2 exons. Lineage: Eukaryota; Metazoa; Chordata; Actinopteri; Cyprinodontiformes; Goodeidae. The record is from RefSeq and is a predicted model, not a curated record.
UCAGCCCUUAUAAAUGCUUCAAUGAAUUCAAGCAGAUUAUCUCCCUCCGUUUCAACACGGAUAUUAUUUCUACGUAGACAUGCUUCUUUCAGCCCAUGGAGCUGAGUGCAGGUAUUGUGUUCUGUGUGAGUGUUAUUCCCUCUUCCUCCACCAGGGUGCGGCAGGCAGGUGCUGCCCCACAGCUCUCAGCUGCCCUGCAUUUGGAGCAAUCAGCAUCAGGAUACUGAAGCGGCUGGGACUCUGAAGGAGUCGUGGGAUCGUAGACCUUGCUGUGUGUUAAUCAGACCGAACCAACCCUGCUUCUGUGUUUCCCUGCCUGCAUCUAACCCAGCUCUGUACUCCCUCACAGUUGCUGUCAGCAGUCCUGCUUUGAAUAACCCUCUGUGGUUCUGGUUGUUCUUCCUGUUUGGUGUCAGCAAACCCGUCCCUGGAUAAACCACUGUGAGUAGCCUUCUGUUCAUGGUGAAUACUUCAUUAAAUUCACUCCCAAGGACCGCUGUGGAUCCUUCAGAUCAAGUUCAAGACUCGCUCCCCGCUUCUCUCUCUGCGUGUCCAACCUCCAACGUUGCACACCUUCUGGAGGAAUCCACCCACAUGACACGCUUGCCGGCCAACCUCAGCCUCUGUGGCUUGCUCAUCUCCCCAGACUCCCCACCUUCUUCCACAAUGAGCCGUUUCCGUAAGCCGGCCGGCUAUGGAGUCCUGACGCUGCCCAGAAAACAUCCUUUCAAUAAACCUGUUUAAACCUU